Nerophis ophidion (straightnose pipefish) is the source of this 114-nucleotide small nuclear RNA. RefSeq annotates it as U5 spliceosomal RNA. The transcript has a single exon. Lineage: Eukaryota; Metazoa; Chordata; Actinopteri; Syngnathiformes; Syngnathidae. The record is from RefSeq and is a predicted model, not a curated record.
AAACUCCUGCUUCUCUUCAAAUUGCAUAAAUCUUUCGUCUUUUGCUAAAGAUUUCCGUGGGGAAAAACAAAAUGAGUACAGUUACAAUUUUUAAAUGCCCUCUGAAGCAGGGCU